GGCCUAUUGAUUAUGAUUUUAGGUCGGACCUGCUCUAUGAUGGAUUAAAUGGCCGCGGUAUAUUGACCGUGCAAAGGUAGCAUAAUCAUUAGUUUUUUAAUUGAAAGCUUGCAUGAAGGGUUUAAUGAAAAAAAGGCUGUCUCUUUUUAAAUUUAUUAGAAUUUUAUUUUUAAGUUAGAAAGCUUAAAUAUUUAUAGAAGACGAGAAGACCCUAUAGAGUUUAAUAUUUUAUUUGGUUUAAAGAAAAGGGGAGAGUUAAAUUUAAAUUGGAUAAUUUAUUUUGUUGGGGUGAUAAAAAAAUUAAAAUAACUUUUUUUGUGUUUAAUCAUUGAUUUAUGAAAAAAUGAUCCUGUUAUACAGAUUAUAAGAAUAAAUUACCUUAGGGAUAACAGCGUUAUUUUUUUUAGAGUUCUUAUCAAAGAAAAAGAUUGCGACCUCGAUGUUGGAUUAAAAUUAAUUGUUGGUGAAGAAGCUAAUAAAUUAGGUCUGUUCGACCUUUAGAAUUUUACAUGAUCUGAGUUUAAACCGGUGUGAA
This 535-nucleotide ribosomal RNA is filed under the name Trigonopterus sp. 773 AR-2022a. Its description in RNAcentral is "partial large subunit ribosomal RNA". It matches the Rfam family "Archaeal large subunit ribosomal RNA", at positions 1952 to 2694 of the family's 2987-position model. Lineage: Eukaryota; Metazoa; Arthropoda; Insecta; Coleoptera; Curculionidae. The record is from RNAcentral.